AUUGAACGCUGGCGGCAUGCCUUACACAUGCAAGUCGAACGGCAGCACGGGAGCAAUCCUGGUGACGAGUGGCGAACGGGUGAGUAAUGCAUCGGAACGUGCCCAAUCGGUGGGGGAUAACGUAGCGAAAGUUACGCUAAUACCGCAUAAGCCCUGAGGGGGAAAGUGGGGGACCGCAAGGCCUCACGCGAAUGGAGCGGCCGAUGUCAGAUUAGCUAGUUGGUGGGGUAAAGGCUCACCAAGGCGACGAUCUGUAGCGGGUCUGAGAGGAUGAUCCGCCACACUGGGACUGAGACACGGCCCAGACUCCUACGGGAGGCAGCAGUGGGGAAUUUUGGACAAUGGGCGAAAGCCUGAUCCAGCCAUGCCGCGUGAGUGAUGAAGGCCCUAGGGUUGUAAAGCUCUUUCACCGGUGAAGAUAAUGACGGUAACCGGAGAAGAAGCCCCGGCUAACUUCGUG
This 460-nucleotide ribosomal RNA is filed under the name uncultured bacterium. RNAcentral's name for it is "bacterial SSU rRNA". It matches the Rfam family "Bacterial small subunit ribosomal RNA", at positions 29 to 507 of the family's 1533-position model. The record is from RNAcentral.